AGAUUUGUUAGGCUAACAAACUGAAGAAAUAUCUCUUGUGCACUCUUUUUUUUCCUCCUCCUCUCAUCUCUCCGCCACUAGUGCUGUGCUUCGUUUGCUCCUCCUCUUCCUUCUCAGCUCCUAUUCGUCGAGCUCUCUCUCUCUCUCUCUCUCUCUCUCUCGUAUGCCUCUCUCCUCAUCGGAUCCUUCUUUUUAUCUCUAUAUCCGUUCAUUUUUGUUCCAAUUUUUUAUCUGGGUUUUGCUUGUUUGAUCCAAAGCUCAUCAUUUCACCAAAAACAAAGCCCACUUUUCUCUUCAAAAGUCAUAGCAGAAUCCAAUCUUUUCAAUGCCCCCCUUUUCUCUAUUUCCUAUGCAACCAUGAGAUUUAGAUGAAUCGGACAUAGCAGGUCUUGUCAUGCAAGUUCCUAUGAUCAUCUGAGCCACUUCUAUUGUUGAUUUGGUGUAAAUGGGUAGAGGCAGAGGAAAAGGAAAGAAACCAUCAACUGUUAGAAACCAUGAAGAUCCAGGAAGCGGUGGUGAAGAAGUGCUUCCUACGUAUAAGAGGAGGGGAAGGCCACAAAAGCCCUUGAAAGAGGACAUUGAUGAAGAAGAAGGUGGAAAAGUUGAGAAAGAAGAAGUCGAAGAAGGAGAUGAUGUGAAACCCACAUCUUUAAUCAAAGAAAAUAAGAACUCGGUUGAAAAUGGAAAGAAGAGGAAGAGGAACUUGCAAGUUAAAGAAAGUUCUGAUUCUGUCAUAGAGGAAGAUAAUUCUUCUUUGAAGUCUAAUGGUUUUCGGCAAAAUGGAAGCAGGAGAAAAAGUAAGCCCCGGCGAGCUGCUGAAGCUGGAGUUGAGUGCAAGUGAGAUUGAUUUUCGACCAUUGGUAAUGGUUUUGGUUCGGGCCGUCACUAGUUAUACAAGAUGUUUGGGCAGACCUCAGCAUGUCUUACAAUCACGACAAGGCAUAAUGCAGAUCAAAAGCGAUGCUUGGCCCAGUAGGUUCUGUUUAUCAACUUAUCUGAGCAAAACGUUGUUGUAGUUCUUCAUAUCAGCUUGUUGGGUCAAACUCAAUGAAAGGGGAUUCACAGACUCGUGACCAUUUUAGAUGAUUUAGUCAAGUCUAUGUCAGAGAUAUUUAAGUAAGAGUUGUUAGAGCGAAAUUUGGAGGAGAAAACUACAACAAAAUGGGUAAAGAUGGGAAGGUUGGAAAUUUGAUUACUUCCUUGUUGGAGAAUUUUUUUUAUAAAAAAAUUAGUGAUAAUUAGAAAGGCAUGGUUCCCAAACUAUUUCUUCUUCUUCUUCUUCUUCUUUUUUAUUUUAUUUCACAAUCUUAGCUUUGUUAUUAGGUCACAAUGCGUUGACUAGUGGGACCAAAAGACUUUACAAUUUGAUGGUGGGACUGAACAUGUCUUGCAGUUUCUUCUCGUGCUUUUGUUGCCUAGAAAUUAGAGACUGAAUAAAGCCUGAACUUUGAGCUGA
Molecule: RNA transcript, 1456 nt
Organism: Ananas comosus (pineapple)
Lineage: Eukaryota; Viridiplantae; Streptophyta; Magnoliopsida; Poales; Bromeliaceae
Exons: 5
Source: RefSeq, a predicted model, not a curated record